AGAGUUUGAUCAUGGCUCAGAGUGAACGCUGGCGGUAGGCCUAACACAUGCAAGUCGAACGGCAGCACAGGAGAGCUUGCUCUCUGGGUGGCGAGUGGCGGACGGGUGAGGAAUACAUCGGAAUCUACUCUGUCGUGGGGGAUAACGUAGGGAAACUUACGCUAAUACCGCAUACGACCUACGGGUGAAAGCAGGGGACCUUCGGGCCUUGCGCGAUUGAAUGAGCCGAUGUCGGAUUAGCUAGUUGGCGGGGUAAAGGCCCACCAAGGCGACGAUCCGUAGCUGGUCUGAGAGGAUGAUCAGCCACACUGGAACUGAGACACGGUCCAGACUCCUACGGGAGGCAGCAGUGGGGAAUAUUGGACAAUGGGCGCAAGCCUGAUCCAGCCAUACCGCGUGGGUGAAGAAGGCCUUCGGGUUGUAAAGCCCUUUUGUUGGGAAAGAAAUCCAGCUGGCUAAUACCCGGUUGGGAUGACGGUACCCAAAGAAUAAGCACCGGCUAACUUCGUGCCAGCAGCCGCGGUAAUACGAAGGGUGCAAGCGUUACUCGGAAUUACUGGGCGUAAAGCGUGCGU
Molecule: ribosomal RNA, 575 nt
Filed under: Lysobacteraceae bacterium enrichment culture clone JUMSS254PW-43(R20)
Lineage: Bacteria; Pseudomonadati; Pseudomonadota; Gammaproteobacteria; Lysobacterales; Lysobacteraceae
Description: bacterial SSU rRNA
Rfam family: Bacterial small subunit ribosomal RNA
Source: RNAcentral